AUUUUGUAUAAAAGGAGAGAAGAAUAGCACUUCCCUCCUUAUUGUAAGAAUUGAAGAGGUCCUAAUGGCAUUUACAACACUCAUCUGGCUAAGGCAUGGUUACUUGGGUUACUUGGGAUAGGUCUGUUG
Small nuclear RNA from Protopterus annectens (West African lungfish), 129 nucleotides. Lineage: Eukaryota; Metazoa; Chordata; Ceratodontiformes; Protopteridae. The record is from RefSeq and is a predicted model, not a curated record.